GCACUAGUGGUAUAGUGGUAGCAUAGGUCCUUGCCAAAUCAGGCGCCCCUGGGCGUCUGGUGCCGUACGGACCAGACCCGAGUUCGAUUCUCGGCUAGUGCA
RNAcentral lists this transfer RNA (102 nucleotides) under Chlamydomonas reinhardtii. It matches the Rfam family "tRNA". From Rfam's summary of the family: Transfer RNA (tRNA) molecules are approximately 80 nucleotides in length. Lineage: Eukaryota; Viridiplantae; Chlorophyta; Chlorophyceae; Chlamydomonadales; Chlamydomonadaceae. The record is from Rfam by way of RNAcentral.